RNAcentral lists this ribosomal RNA (434 nucleotides) under uncultured bacterium. RNAcentral describes it as "partial 16S ribosomal RNA". It matches the Rfam family "Bacterial small subunit ribosomal RNA", at positions 29 to 507 of the family's 1533-position model. The record is from RNAcentral.
AGCGAACGCUGGCGGCAGGCCUAACACAUGCAAGUCGAACGAACCUUUCGGGGUUAGUGGCGGACGGGUGAGUCACACGUUGGAACGUGCCUUUAGGUUCGGAACUACUCAGGGACACUUGUGCUAAUACCGAAUGUGCCCUUCUGGGGAACUAUUUAUCGCCUUUCGAGCCGCCCGCGUCGGAUUAGCUCGUUGGUUGAGGUAAUGGCUCACCAAGGCGACGAUCAGUAGCUGGUCUGAGAGGAUGAUCAGCCACAUUGGGCGUGAGACACGGCCCAGACUCCUGCCGGAGGCAGCAGUGGGGAAGCAUGCGCCAUGGGCGAGAGACUGACGCGGCCAUGCCGCGUGGAGGAUGAUGGUCUUAGGCUUGUGAACUUCUUUCACCGGGGACGAUAAUGACGGUCCCCGGAGUAGAGGCCCCUGCUAACUGCGUG